UGGGGUGUGGCUCAGUGGUAGAGUGCUCACCUAGCAUAUGUGAAUCCCUGGGUUUGAUCCUCUGUACCACAU
This is a non-coding RNA of Ictidomys tridecemlineatus (thirteen-lined ground squirrel), 72 nucleotides long. Lineage: Eukaryota; Metazoa; Chordata; Mammalia; Rodentia; Sciuridae. The record is from Rfam.